Molecule: long non-coding RNA, 1102 nt
Filed under: Panax ginseng (ginseng)
Lineage: Eukaryota; Viridiplantae; Streptophyta; Magnoliopsida; Apiales; Araliaceae
Description: long non-coding RNA (PGIN_LNC010360)
Source: RNAcentral
AAAUUUGAAACUAUAUCUUGGUAUAAAAUCAUUAUUUAUAGAUAUUAGUUCUGAUAUGUAUUAGUUGAUUCAAUGUUUAUUACUGAUGAUAAAAUAAACUAUAUUUACAAAUGAUUAAUAUUAAACAUCACGAACACUAAUCUCUACAACACAUUUAAAGUAUUGUUUAUACAAACAUCCAUAAGUGUAGUUCAUAAAUAUUCUUUUAUUAAAGCAAUAACCAAUUUGAAACUAUAAUUGUUAACUAUUUUGCAAUAUGUUGCUCAUCAACUAUUAAGGUCAUGGUGAUAAGUUUGAAUGAUGUUUUGAAGUGUAUUUGAAUGCCUAGAGGUUCCUUGAGACAUAACUUGGGACUGUUUGUAAGUAUAGCCAAAAUUGUGCCUAUAUGUUAACUGUUAUAGCAAAAAAUCACACUGCUUGAAUUCCCUUCAAAAGAUCACAAUUGUCCCCCUUUUUUAGCAACUCAAAUCAAUAAACAAUCCCCUUUUUAUGAGGUUGAAUGUGUUUUUAUAAGUCAAAAAGAAAAACGAACAGACACAUAAUUUAUCAACUCACUUAGACCCAACAACCAAAACACACUGCUUGAAUUCAGUUAUAAUCUCACAAAUUCCGUAUGGAGUAUAUGAAAAUUAUUUCCAUUCUACAACUUUUUUAUAAUAAAAAAAAUAUCCUUUAAUCGAAUCCCAAAAAUCAACCAGUGUCACUAACUACUACUACAUCACUCAUAUGUAUGUGUUUCAAUAUAUGCAUAUUACAAUCACCUCCCUGAUUGUAUGUGCCACCAGUCCAAAGAUUAUGAAUUUUGAUUCUUGGUAUAAUUCUUGGUGUCCUUCUGCUAACACAAAAGAGUAAACUUUGAAAUAGAUCCAAUUAAUUCUGAAACUUAAAUGAAAUUAAUUAUUCUACAUUUUGAAUUAAAUAAACCCACGAAGAUACUUCAAGUCAUUGUCAUUAAAUAAGCCCUCUUUACCAAAAAAAAGUAGAAUAAAUUUUGCUAAAGUAUAUAUAAGUAAGAUGUGAAACAAUUAUGACAUCAUUUGCUUUAGUAGAAGCUGUCUUCACUUUUCUUAAUUAAAUGUUUAGUUUGUCGAAUAAGAGUACU